This 74-nucleotide transfer RNA is filed under the name Candidatus Helarchaeota archaeon. RNAcentral's name for it is "tRNA-Glu". It matches the Rfam family "tRNA". From Rfam's summary of the family: Transfer RNA (tRNA) molecules are approximately 80 nucleotides in length. Their secondary structure includes four short double-helical elements and three loops (D, anti-codon, and T loops). Lineage: Archaea; Promethearchaeati; Candidatus Helarchaeota. The record is from RNAcentral.
GCCGCGUUAGUGUAGCUGGUCAAUCAUCUAGGGCUCUCGACCCUUGAACCCGGGUUCAAAUCCCGGACGCGGCA